RNAcentral lists this long non-coding RNA (1096 nucleotides) under Numida meleagris (helmeted guineafowl). Its description in RNAcentral is "lncRNA (ENSNMEG00000001999.1)". Lineage: Eukaryota; Metazoa; Chordata; Aves; Galliformes; Numididae. The record is from RNAcentral.
GUCGCUGUCACUGCUGGGUGUCACCAGGGUGGUGUCACUGUCACUGCUGGGGUGUCACCAGGGUGGUGUCACUGUCACAGGUGGGGUGUCACCAGGGUGGUGUCGCUGUCACCCGUGCGGUGUCCCCGGUGUGAAAUCCCCACGAAGUUGUCACGGGGCGGGGUGUCACCCGGCUGUUGUCACCGGUCCGGUGUUGGUGCCAAGCCCGGUGUCCCCUUGUCACCCGCAGAGAGCCGCCUGGCCCUGCUGCUGUCCCUGUCCCUGCUGGGCUCCGUCACCGCGCUGGGGGCGGCCGCGUGGGGCAUCUACUACCUGAAGAGCACCGCCUGUAAGAAGGGGGAGUACAACGUGCGCGACGCCGAGGGUUCCUCCGAGGCCGCCCGCCUGCACCGCGGGGACAGCGGGGGACAACGGGAGCUCUUCGGGAUCCCGCUCACCCCCACCUGAGGGACGACGCCACCCGAGCCCCCCCCGGGGAACGCGGGCAUGUGGUGGGGACGGCGCGGUGACGUCCGCCCCGAGUGGUGGUGUUGGGUGUCGCCGCGCUGUCCCCGUGGGGGUGGGGGUGGUGGUGGUGGUGGCGGGGGGUCGCCGCAUUGUCCUCGAGGAAUGGUGUUGGAUGUCGUCAUGCUGUCCCCAAGGAGCGGUGUUGGAUGUCAUCGUACUGUCCCCAAGGAGCAGUGUUGUUGGAUGUCACCACAAUGUCUCCGAGGAAUGGUGUUGGAUGUCACCACACUGUCCCCAAGGAGUGGUGUUGGAUGUCGUCGUGCUGUCCCCAAGGAGCGGUGGUGUUGGAUGUCACCACACUGUCCCCAAGGAGUGGUGUUGGAUGUCGUCGUACUGUCCCCAAGGAGCGGUGUUGUUGGAUGUCACCGCAAUGUCCCCAAGGAACGGUGUUGUUGGAUGUCACCGCAAUGUCUCCGAGGAACGGUGUUGGAUGUCACCACACUGUCCCCAAGGAACGGUGUUGUUGGAUGUCACCACAAUGUCUCCGAGGAACGGUGUUGGAUGUCACCACACUGUCCCCAAGGAGUGAUGUCGUCGUACUGUCCCCAAGGAGCGGUGUUGUUGGAUGUCAUCGUACUGUCCCCAAGGA